CCAGUGAGUACUAUAUCCAGCUGAGUUAUUAUUGCUCAAUUGGGGACUUCCUACCUGGUUUCUAUGCUGGUGAUGUGGUCCACCGUUUAGCGUGGCUGAAACAACAACCCAACUUCAUGGCUGAGCUGGCUUGUCCUCUGGCGUUAGAUCUGGAGUGAUACUGUCAGCUUCAAGCCUUUGCUUAACGCAACUUUGCUGUUUGUGAAGUGCUUUCUUGCUGCUGUCAUGCACACCCUCCACCUCCCCUUCACCACCUGGUCUUUACGGAUUCAUCAGCCUCAUACGCCUCAGCAGCCUCAGAGUCAUCAGCCACCACCACCACCAGUGUCUGGACUCUAUGGGGAGAUUUAUCCUGCUGCCGCUCAGAUGUCCCUCGAUCACAAAAUGUCUCCCUCUGGUGUCCAAGACUUCUGUUAAAUCUUAAUCAGCACAAAUUAUCUGUUAAUCUGUACACUCAUAUUCUGUAUUAGAAAUUAUCUUUACUUCAUUCUUCUGUCUCUCCUGAUUGAAUUAUUAGUGGUCAUUUGAUGUGCAUAGACUAAUACCAGUACAGUGAACCUUUUGGCUUCCUUAACAAUCCUGAUUUAAUGUUUUACGUAUCUUUACAUACAUGCGUUGUGGCAUUUUUUUAAGCGUCAAGAAGCCUCUUUGUUGGCUUUCAGUAAUGGCUUAAUUUUUCAGCCUCGCAGGUUGGUGCUUGGUAUCAAUGGAUGCCUUCAUAUAUCACACAAGAUAUCCCUUCCUUUGUGCUAGCUUAUAAAAUGAGGGCACCUAAAGACAGUAACUUUGGUCCCCCAGGUAUUUCAUAAUUAAAGUAACUGGAGGCAAAUUGGAGGCCAAUCCUUUUGGGAGUGCCACUGGCCUGUAUUUGGCGACGUACUUGAAAACUGUGGGCUAAUCAAUUACAUUACUAAUUACUAAACAGCAAAAUAAACGACUGAUAUUACUUGUACCUUUACUCUCUUUGAACACAAACCAGUACUAACAUUCUCUGUAUUAACACAUAUAGAAACAAGGUGUAAAGCAUGUUGCAAUGUUUUCAGGCAUUGCUGUGAUUAGUAGCUGUAAUGUAGUUACUGAAUUUCAAAUCCUAUGCCAUCACACUGCUUGUUAAGAAAAAAAGUAAUUACUGUACUAAGCAAUGUGUAACUGCCCAGCACUAGAGUGUCAUCUGACCAGGUCUAAAGGCAGAAGUGUUUAAACCUGUACCAACCAUAGCCUCCACCUGGCUGCAACACACUGCCACCUGAUUCCCUUCCAAGCAUCCUGUGUCUUUGAAUUCUGCGGGGAUAACAGGGCACACUUUCAGUCAGUCUCCCCUCAAAGGCAUUCAUGUUGCUGCACUCAGUUGUACACACUUAGGAGAGCUUGAGAGAGAAGUUAGACUCCUGCCUCACUUUCACACCUUGCUAAUCUCGGUUUUCCAAAAUGUUGGUUAAAUAGGCACGAGAGGAAAAGUCAGGGGACCACAAGUAGCCUACACUUCAAACACAAAUGACAAAAACUAGCUGAGUUAACUAUCUUUGAUGGCAAAAAGUAAAACUCUAGGAAGUUACUUAAUUUCAGAAAACCAGAAAACAUUUGAUGCAGAAUUUUUCAUAUGACAUGAAUGGUGGUCAGGAUUAGAAAGGUUACUUUAAAAAUGUUCUGAUACAAUUACUAAUUACCUGUAAAAAUCUGUUGUCAGUAACCUAAUCCAAGUUUCACAACAGUAACGAGAUAACUUUUAUUUAAACUCACUACACACUUGUGUAUUCUGUAAGACAACAGAACAAUGUAACCCUAGAAAUGAAAUUAGGAAAACCAAGAUUUUUGCCAUCAAAAAUGUGUCCUCUGCUCAGUGUAUAUUCUUAAAGAAAAACCGAACCGAACCUGUUCUCACUCCGAAGUUGUCAAAUACCAGCACUUGGGCAGUGACUUCUUCAUCAGACACUGAUGAAAAAGGCCGUCGUUUCAUGUUGUCAUG
Molecule: long non-coding RNA, 1966 nt
Organism: Epinephelus fuscoguttatus (brown-marbled grouper)
Lineage: Eukaryota; Metazoa; Chordata; Actinopteri; Perciformes; Serranidae
Exons: 3
Source: RefSeq, a predicted model, not a curated record